AUUGAACGCUGGCGGCAUGCCUUACACAAGCAAGUCGAACGGCAGCACGGGUGCUUGCACCUGGUGGCGAGUGGCGAACGGGUGAGUAAUACAUCGGAACAUGUCCUGUAGUGGGGGAUAGCCCGGCGAAAGCCGGAUUAAUACCGCAUACGAUCUACGGAUGAAAGCGGGGGACCUUCGGGCCUCGCGCUAUAGGGUUGGCCGAUGGCUGAUUAGCUAGUUGGUGGGGUAAAGGCCUACCAAGGCGACGAUCAGUAGCUGGUCUGAGAGGACGACCAGCCACACUGGGACUGAGACACGGCCCAGACUCCUACGGGAGGCAGCAGUGGGGAAUUUUGGACAAUGGGCGAAAGCCUGAUCCAGCAAUGCCGCGUGUGUGAAGAAGGCCUUCGGGUUGUAAAGCACUUUUGUCCGGAAAGAAAUCCUUGGCCCUAAUACGGUCGGGGGGAUGACGGUACCGGAAGAAUAAGCACCGGCUAACUACGUG
Molecule: ribosomal RNA, 487 nt
Filed under: uncultured bacterium
Lineage: Bacteria
Description: partial 16S ribosomal RNA
Rfam family: Bacterial small subunit ribosomal RNA
Source: RNAcentral